AUUUAUUAAAUUAAAAAAAUAUUAAGUUUCUAAUAAAAUUUAAUAAUUAUAAUUUAUUAAUAAUUA
Molecule: non-coding RNA, 66 nt
Organism: Babesia microti strain RI
Lineage: Eukaryota; Apicomplexa; Aconoidasida; Piroplasmida; Babesiidae
Source: the annotation of a RefSeq genome assembly